Molecule: long non-coding RNA, 246 nt
Filed under: Sorghum bicolor (sorghum)
Lineage: Eukaryota; Viridiplantae; Streptophyta; Magnoliopsida; Poales; Poaceae
Description: long non-coding RNA (SBIC_LNC002201)
Source: RNAcentral
ACAGUGGUAUUUAAAACAAGAAGGGGGGAACAAUCUAUGUGCAUAUUACGUAUGCAAAUUCAUGAUGGCACAAGUCAAUCAAACACCCACAGAGACGCUCAGAGUACGUUACAUGUCUCUUUUCAUUAUCUCCUGAAUUAUAUUGAAAAACUUAGAUAACUAAUAUCUUUUUUAUUUAUUUCAAAUUAAAGACCGAAUGGCUGAGGGAAAAGGUCCUACAACAAGACCGAAUCAAAGCUAUCCAAG